This 670-nucleotide long non-coding RNA is filed under the name Homo sapiens (human). RNAcentral's name for it is "HSALNT0364077". The record is from RNAcentral. Lineage: Eukaryota; Metazoa; Chordata; Mammalia; Primates; Hominidae.
CCUGAAACAGGUUAUUGGAAGUUCCUGGUGAUGGCAGCCAUUCUCUGAUUUCUUGCAUUGAGCUUCCAGUUCUCAUGUGUGACAGGCAGUUGGGAAAGCAGCUGGUGGGGAAUGCAGCAGCUUCUUGACAACCGAAUCACAGCUAGUAUGAUGUAUCCUUGAACUAAACAGUCCAGUGGUCAUCCCCUGACUGCUGCUGCCCCAGCUCAUCCAAUCAUUUGGUGGGCCUCAUGCAGUAAGUUGAAGGUUGUAAGAGCAAAGAUAGAAGGCCUUCCCAAAGAAUGAGGACUUCUGCCUGAGGAUAGCAAAUACCAAUUCUGCAUGGGUUUCCUGGCUUCAGACUCAAGAAUGCAAUAUCAACUCUUACUGGAAUUUCUAUCCUACCAGCUUGCCCUGCAAAUUUCAGACUUGCCAGCCCUUGCAAUUGUGGUUUCAAUGUCCUCAUCUCUGAAAGGAAAACAGCAUAGACCCAAUCUUCCUUGAUUGGCUUGAAGAUGAAAUAGGUAAUGCUCAGGAAGUGCUAAGCACAGAAUCUACUGCAAAAAGAACCAAGUUAAAAAGAUACAACUAAGAAGAUCCACCUCUCAACAUGAUUUCUGUUAGAACUGCCACUUUUGGCUAGUCAGGAAUUCACAUGGCAACCAUGAUGAUAAUGAAAGAGGGGAGAUGC